UGACAUUCUUUGGCAGCUGCAAAGAUGAAUUAAUUUUCUUUGUUAUUUGAAAGGGUGCCUGUUUUCUAGGUUUCUGGUUUUAAAUCAGUCUGAAGUGUUUGGGAAAUGUUACUCUGGAUUUAUAUAUCGAUCCUCCCAACAUUAGUGCAAAAUUUAGAUGAAAAAGUUAAUUCUACCACAUGUGUUGAAGCUGCUGAUAAACAUAGAUCUGCACUACUAGAUUGUCACGGAGGUUAUAUUUCCCAUAUUUCAUUCGAAUCUGGCACAGGGAGAUGUUGGCAACAAGAUUGAAAAUGUAUUGGAAGGACGCUUGGUUCAUUGGUGAACUUUCUUGUUUGUCACUGGCGCAAAAUCUGUUAUAUCCGCUGGCCAACAGGCCAGAUCUUUAGCCAGUAUUUUGUCGGAGGUUGUAUUGGCAAACAACCAACUUUUAUGUCGGUCAGUUUUAAGUGCUUCAAACCAACCGAUUUCCUAUUGGGCUAUGGCUACCUCAAGACACCGGGAUCAGGU
Molecule: long non-coding RNA, 510 nt
Organism: Ruditapes philippinarum (Manila clam)
Lineage: Eukaryota; Metazoa; Mollusca; Bivalvia; Venerida; Veneridae
Exons: 3
Source: RefSeq, a predicted model, not a curated record